AAAAAAAAAAAAACAAAAAAAAAAAAACACUGUUUUUUUUUGCCAUUGUGUGUAUCAAGUUAUCUAAUGCGUGUGUUUGUGUGUGUGUGUAUGUUUUAUGAGUUUUCAUCCUGA
RNAcentral lists this non-coding RNA (114 nucleotides) under Heterosigma akashiwo. The record is from RNAcentral. Lineage: Eukaryota; Raphidophyceae; Chattonellales; Chattonellaceae.